UGGCUACAUCACGCUGAAAAACCAGUUCCCGUACAAUCACUGAAGUUAAGCAGCGUUGAGCCUGGUCAGUAUCUAGGUGGGCGACCCCUUGGGAAUAUCACGUGCUGUAA
Acanthosepion pharaonis is the source of this 110-nucleotide non-coding RNA. NCBI's taxonomy places the organism in Eukaryota, Metazoa, Mollusca, Cephalopoda, Sepiida, Sepiidae. The record is from the annotation of a GenBank genome assembly.